Molecule: long non-coding RNA, 1064 nt
Organism: Boleophthalmus pectinirostris (great blue-spotted mudskipper)
Lineage: Eukaryota; Metazoa; Chordata; Actinopteri; Gobiiformes; Gobiidae
Exons: 2
Source: RefSeq, a predicted model, not a curated record
CAUCAGAUAACGUCUUUUCGUUGUAUUGUAUUCCUUUGUUUUCCUCCAAAAGUGCACGUAAAAUGCAGGCUAGUACUCGGGCUAAUCUUUUCAAAAGCACUUGCCUGUAAUCACGUCUCAUUGCGCAUGUCACACGCUGCGCAUGGUGUCUCCAUCGAAAGUGUGGAGGCAUGUUUCCGAAGAAAUAUGUUUCAGUAAAUAUAAUGGACAGUAUUUUUUUUUUUAAUCAGAUAACGUGUUCAUUUUACUAUAUCAGGCUAUUUUAACCAACGUUAAUAGAAUACAUAUGCUGGCUGCAGCUGCAGAGCCCGUUGCUGCCUCUGCUUUUUGUGAAGUGUUCCUUUCAGACACAAGUUGUGCACCAGAGGGACAGCUGUGCAGCACAUCAGCCUGAGUCUGUGUCACUCCACAGAAGUGAACUGAUGAAUGACUGGAGGGAGUCUGCUGGGAGCGAGCACUACCAGCACAGAACAGCCCUAGCUCUGAGCCUGCAGGGCAGCCCAGAUCUAAUAACAAAGCUGCAUACUUCGGUAGAAUAACCCUGGCAACCACAGCAGCACUACUGGCAACCAGUAUGGUUAGUGGGGACUUUAAACAAUCAGAGUUCUUGCGUACACAAUCUUUUGAAAAUGAAUUCAGUCUGACAAAGACGGUUGGAUGAGAGAUUCAAAGGGAACAUUUCGUGCAUGAUGAUAUGAUAGGGGGAUUUACUGUACCCACUAGCCUUUUCAUCAAGCAGCAAUCAACAAUUUAUUGGUGGCAGUCAGUCAAUAAAGGCGUUCCCUGGAAGUGCCAGUGAAAUCAAUAUUCCCCUGUGACACAGCACACAGGCCGCAGUGAGGGAUGGAUGGGAGGGGCAAAACUGAGCUGGAAUGAGUUGCCACAUUUGCACUGUAUGCAAAUACAAUUGAUUAGCUGUGCUGGCAGCAGAACAUUAAAAAUGACCUAAAACUAAAUGAAUUUGUCCUUCACUUUAUGCAUAGUGCUAAUCCUAGCUGACAGAUAGGCCUGUCACCAUAAAUACUAUAUUGACUUAUUGUUCAAUAAAUGAUGAUAUAUUUUUA